UGGGGAAUCUUGCGCAAUGGGCGAAAGCCUGACGCAGCAACGCCGCGUGCGGGAAGAAGGCUUUAGGGUUGUAAACCGCUUUCAGCAGGGAAGAAAAUGACGGUACCUGCAGAAGAAGGUGCGGCCAACUACGUGCCAGCAGCCGCGGUGACACGUAGGCACCAAGCGUUGUCCGGAUUUAUUGGGCGUAAAGAGCUCGUAGGCGGUUCAGUAAGUCGGGUGUGAAAACUCUGGGCUUAACCCAGAGCCGCCACCCGAUACUGCUGUGACUUGAGUCCGGUAGGGGAGCGGGGAAUUCCUGGUGUAGCGGUGAAAUGCGCAGAUAUCAGGAGGAACACCGGUGGCGAAGGCGCCGCUCUGGGCCGAGACUGACGCUGAGGAGCGAAAGCAUGGGUAGCAA
Molecule: ribosomal RNA, 400 nt
Filed under: uncultured bacterium
Lineage: Bacteria
Description: bacterial SSU rRNA
Rfam family: Bacterial small subunit ribosomal RNA
Source: RNAcentral